AGGCAGCAGUGGGGAAUAUUGCGACAAUGGGCGCAAGCCUGAUGCAGCCAUGCGCGUGUGUGAGAAGGCUCGGGUUGUAAAGCACUUCGGUCGUGAGGAAGGUAGUGUAGUUAAUAGCUGCAUUAUUUGACGUUAGCGACAGAAGAAGCACCGGCUAACUCCGUGCCAGCAGCCGCGGUAAUACGGAGGGUGCGAGCGUUAAUCGGAAUUACUGGGACGUAAAGCGCAUGCAGGUGGUUUGUUAAGUCAGAUGUGAAAAGCCCCGGGGCUCAACCUCGGAAUAGCAUUUUAGAAACUGGCAGACUAGAGUACUGUAGGAGGGGGUAGAAUUUCAGGUGUAGCGGUAGAAAUGCGUAGAGAUCUGAAGGAAUACCGGUGGCGAAGGCGGCCCCCCUGGACAGAUACUGACACUCAGAUGACGAAAGCGGUGGGGAGACAAACAGGAUUAGACUACCCUGGUAG
RNAcentral lists this ribosomal RNA (462 nucleotides) under uncultured bacterium. RNAcentral describes it as "bacterial SSU rRNA". It matches the Rfam family "Bacterial small subunit ribosomal RNA", at positions 346 to 793 of the family's 1533-position model. The record is from RNAcentral.